This 75-nucleotide transfer RNA is filed under the name Anaerolineales bacterium. RNAcentral's name for it is "tRNA-Leu". Lineage: Bacteria; Bacillati; Chloroflexota; Anaerolineae; Anaerolineales. The record is from RNAcentral.
AGUAGGUUAUCGGUAUACACAAUAGACUCAAGAUCUAUCAGCGCAAGCUAAUGAGGGUUCAAAUCCCUCCUUCCA